AAUAAUUGGAGUCAGUGUGAAAACUCAGCCUUUUGGCAAAGUUGAACUCGUAAGCUGGCAAACAGCUUCAGGAGACAGUGGACUCCAAUUAGAAUCAAGGAGUUGGCUGCAUAAGCAGAUCAAAGGCUUUUUGAAAGAAAGGGAUUAUUUCCUGAAUGCUUCAAGUGCAUAGCAACAUGAUGUAAUUCGUAACAUAAAUGCAAUUCCUGGAUGUUCCUCUUAUCCAGAAGCUUGACAGGAUGUGCAGCUACUAUGAAUGGACUGGUGGUAUUUCAGCAGGGAGGCAGUGUUCCACUGAGCAGCACCAGCCCUGUAACGCUGAAGAUGUGCCAGACUUGGGCAAUAAAAGGGACCUUGUUCUACUUCAGCUCCAGCCUUGUCCAGCAUCAUGCAGUGACACUUGGAGAUCUUCCAAGAACUUGUGUCAAGGCUCUGCUGGAGCGGAGAACAAAGUAAGCUAACUACUACCCAGCUUUGUGCUGUACCAAAGCUGUUCCCAUGUGUGCCAGUUUAGAAAGUUACAACUGAAUAUAAAAACAUUUUAAAGCAUCUCUAUCCAAAGACAUAUAUGAAAUGCAAGCUGCUGGUUUUUCCCACUACGAAAUUUAAAUGAAGAUUACAAACAGCAGAUGAAAUUUGGUUUAAGAGAGUACCAAGGAAGGAGGAAAAGAUCAUUCCAGAAGCUACAGAUAGCAACUUCUAAACGAGUCACAUGGGGCUGGAGACUCCAUUCACUGAACUGUAGCCAUGAGACUCCAACUGCAGGGCCAUGGCACUACC
Molecule: long non-coding RNA, 780 nt
Organism: Lagopus muta (rock ptarmigan)
Lineage: Eukaryota; Metazoa; Chordata; Aves; Galliformes; Phasianidae
Exons: 4
Source: RefSeq, a predicted model, not a curated record